AAAUGUGGCUCUUUUUCAUGGUGCUAUUUUCUAUGUCCAGCUACACAACGAGAUGAGGAUGGUCAUUGUUAUUUUCUGAGCUGCGAACGGGCAGAAAGCUAACCAACGAGAUGAGGAUGGUCAUUGUCAUUUUCUAAGCUGCGAACGGGCAGAAAGCUACAUAACGAGAUGAGGAUGGUCAUUGUCAUUUUCUGAGCUGCGAACGGACAGAAAG
This is a long non-coding RNA of Sycon ciliatum, 214 nucleotides long. RefSeq lists it as uncharacterized. The transcript is spliced from 3 exons. Lineage: Eukaryota; Metazoa; Porifera; Calcarea; Leucosolenida; Sycettidae. The record is from RefSeq and is a predicted model, not a curated record.